AAUGGAGCUCUCCUCUUUAGA
Molecule: transfer RNA, 21 nt
Filed under: Carinigera octava
Lineage: Eukaryota; Metazoa; Mollusca; Gastropoda; Stylommatophora; Clausiliidae
Description: partial tRNA-Met
Source: RNAcentral